Molecule: ribosomal RNA, 538 nt
Filed under: Pseudarthrobacter oxydans
Lineage: Bacteria; Bacillati; Actinomycetota; Actinomycetes; Micrococcales; Micrococcaceae
Description: bacterial SSU rRNA
Rfam family: Bacterial small subunit ribosomal RNA
Source: RNAcentral
CGCCAACCUGAUGCAGCGACGCCGCGUGAGGGGAUGACGGCCUUCGGGUUGUAAACCUCUUUCAUUAGGGAAGAAGCGUAAGUGACUGUACCUGCAGAAGAAGCGCCGGCUAACUACCUGCCAGCAGCCGCUGUAAUACUUACGGCGCACGCGUUAUCCGGAAUUAUUGGGCGUAAAUAGCUCGUAAGCGGUUUGUCACGUCUGCCGUGAAAGUCCUGGGCUCAAAUCCGGAUCUGCGGUGGGUACGGGCAGACUAGAGUGAUGUAGGGGAAAAUGGAAUUCCUGGUGUAGCGGUGAAAUGCGCAGAUAUCACGAGGAACACCGAUGGCAAAGGCAGGUCUCUGGGCAUUAACUGACACUGAGGAGCGAAAGCAUGGGGAGCGAACAGGAUUAGAUACCCUGGUAGUCCAUGCCGUAAACGUUGGGCACUAGGUGUGGGGGACAUUCCACGUUUUCCGCGCCGCUAGCUAACGCAUUAAGUGCCCCGCCUGGGGAGUACGGCCGCAAGGCUAAAACUCAAAGGAAUUGACGGGAACUC